This 378-nucleotide long non-coding RNA is filed under the name Musa acuminata (dwarf banana). RNAcentral describes it as "long non-coding RNA (MACU_LNC002394)". Lineage: Eukaryota; Viridiplantae; Streptophyta; Magnoliopsida; Zingiberales; Musaceae. The record is from RNAcentral.
GUUGGCCAUGUAUUCGUACACGAUACAGCCGUACUCCGGGCAGGCACCCAGGAGCAGCACCAUGUUCGGGUGCCUGAUGCAGCUCAGCACCUCAACCUGCGCAACCAAAGGGAAGCAUCAAGGCGAACCUGCAACAGGUAUCGGUUUGAUCCCAUGCUCAUCCACUCUGCUUACCUCUUGUUGAAACUGCGACCUCCCUUGAGCUGCAUCCGGGCGCAGAACUUUGACGGCCACCGCCGUGUGAUCCAGAUGGCAUUUGUAGACCGGGCCAUAGCCACCCUCUCCGAUCUUACGAUGCUCUGCGAAGUAUUCCGUGGCAAUUUCGAUAUCCUCAAUGGUGUACUUCCUGUACCUCACGUCCGCACGAGGUGCGGAAUC